This 407-nucleotide ribosomal RNA is filed under the name bacterium enrichment culture clone ALO1_GLFRUDD03FSDVZ. Its description in RNAcentral is "bacterial SSU rRNA". It matches the Rfam family "Bacterial small subunit ribosomal RNA", at positions 9 to 418 of the family's 1533-position model. The record is from RNAcentral.
GAGUUUGAUCCUGGCUCAGAUUGAACGCUGGCGGCAGGCCUAACACAUGCAAGUCGAGCGGAUGACGGGAGCUUGCUCCUUGAUUCAGCGGCGGACGGGUGAGUAAUGCCUGGGGAUCUGCCUGGUAGUGGGGGACAACGUUUCGAAAGGAACGCUAAUACCGCAUACGUCCUACGGGAGAAAGCAGGGGACCUUCGGGCCUUGCGCUAUCAGAUGAGCCUAGGUCGGAUUAGCUAGUUGGUGGGGUAAUGGCUCACCAAGGCGACGAUCCGUAGCAGGUCUGAGAGGAUGAUCUGCCACACUGGAACUGAGACACGGUCCAGACUCCUACGGGAGGCAGCAGUGGGGAAUUUUGGACAAUGGGGGCAACCCUGAUCCAGCCAUGCCGCGUGAGUGAAGAAGGCCUU